UUGUCUGCCUGAGAUGCUCAGGUCAAACAAUGCACUGUGCAAUGAAUGAUCAAAACGAUCAUGCUCGCCAAGCCAGCACAAAGUGAGGAGUAACCCAAUGCAAUUUUUUUAAAAAUAAGAUUUGAAGCUCUGAUUAGUCACCUCAGUGGCUAAUCAGCUGCUUCCUUGCUCUGCUGUGGGUAUCUGUUUGGCCACGGUGGGAACAGGAUGCCAGCCCAGAGAGGAUUUCGUUUCAGAAGUCUUCUGGGACACUUGAUGUAUUAUUAUGACAAUUGCAAAACGAGAGAGAGAGAGAGAGAGGGGGGGGUGGGCUAGAUGGUUGCAUAUCCCUCAUCUGGCCCUCCGAAACAGAACUUAGGAGUCUCUCCUAGCCUUGACUUCCUGGUGCUACCAAAAAAAAAAAAAGACAACAACAACAACACCUGUCAAGUCUAAUUCAUGGGAGUUGUAGUCCAAACCCAGAAGAUAGCUUGGAUCUGGGGUGCUCUGCAUGGAGAAACUGCUCAGCCUCUCAGGCAGGUUGCAGGUGGCGGUGCUCCAAGCUGCCAGCAUACCUGACCCACCCUCUGCUGUUCCCUGUAAGUUUUUGGGGCAGGGAGGCCAUAUGGUACCUGGGCCGUCUCAGCCCCCUGGCCCGCGUGGCUCCGGCAGUGAAAAGAACUCAAGCCACGAGGGGGUGGGAAACAUAUCCUUACGUCUUGGCCCCGUUGUCUCAUUAAUAGUUGAUUCUGCUAAGAGCUUCUCUUAAUGACUGUACGUCUUCCUUAUAAAGUGAAGCCUGGACGGGAGAGAUACAUCAAAGGGGGCAAUUAAAGACACUAUUUAAGCUGCUCAGUUUGCUGGAGGAAAAUCAUUAGCCUUGUCAAUGGCUGGCAGGAGAAACAGGCUGGAGUCUGAGAAGGAGGCAACAUCGCCCCUGGGAGGCUGGUGGGGGGCAGCUGGGGACCCCAGAAAAGGCAUCCCCUGUGGAUGAAAUGCUGGGAAACCUCAGCAUCUUUCAAGGCCCAAAUCAUCAAGGGAUGGCAUGACAAAGCUCUCUUAUUUUCGGGAGGAUAAAUCCCAGCCUCCCCACCGGCUGUGGAGA
RNAcentral lists this long non-coding RNA (1084 nucleotides) under Pogona vitticeps (central bearded dragon). Its description in RNAcentral is "lncRNA (ENSPVIG00000011864.1)". The record is from RNAcentral. Lineage: Eukaryota; Metazoa; Chordata; Lepidosauria; Squamata; Agamidae.